AUGCCAUGCUUGGUCCUGGUUAUAGAUGAUGGCCGCGCCCAAACUCCUGGCGGGGUUGAUUCCUGUUCCGGUGAUGGGAAUUGUGGCCAAGUGUACCAAGAACACCGCGAAUCCUAUAGGCAACGGUGCCAAGAUCUGAUCACACAACAUUAAGUCCGAUUAGUAUGAAUUUAAUUAAAUUUAUAACUAAUCCAAUUAAGUCUGAUUCCCGUAAAUUUAAUUAACUUGUGACUAGUCCGAUUAAGUCCUACUAGCAGUGAAUUAUUACUAAACAUAGAAAUACUCUAAAAAAAUUAGGAACAAAAAUUUAGAAGCUUACAGGGACGUGAGAGUCUCUGGCGCUACGCUUGGCAUCAGUGGCGGAGAAGACGGUGUAAACAAGCACGAAAGUUCCGACAAUCUCGGCACCGAGACCAUCACCUUUGGUGUAGCCAUGAGCCACAACAUUAGCACCACCACCCUUAUCAGUAAACACUCUCUUCCCCUCGAACCCUUUAACCACUCCAGCCCCGCAGAUCGCACCCAAGCACUGCAUCACCAUGUAGUACACAGCCCUGGUCAAAGUCAACUUCCUCGCCAGAAACA
This 585-nucleotide long non-coding RNA is filed under the name Daucus carota (carrot). RNAcentral describes it as "long non-coding RNA (DCAR_LNC005753)". The record is from RNAcentral. Lineage: Eukaryota; Viridiplantae; Streptophyta; Magnoliopsida; Apiales; Apiaceae.